This is a long non-coding RNA of Triticum dicoccoides, 2458 nucleotides long. RefSeq lists it as uncharacterized. The record is from RefSeq and is a predicted model, not a curated record. The transcript has 7 exons. Lineage: Eukaryota; Viridiplantae; Streptophyta; Magnoliopsida; Poales; Poaceae.
UUCGGUGCGAUCGGAUUACUCACGGAGAUGAAAAUAUCUCAACUCCUCCUCGAUUCCUUUCACUCCCCCACGACCCCGCCGCCGCCUCCUCUCCUGCUGCCGCCGCCGCGCCACCACAGCCACCUCCUCUCAUCUCUGCCUUCUCUCCUGCUGCCCCCGCCGCGCCACCGCAGAUGCCUCCUCUCAUCUCUGCCUCUCCUGUUGCCCCCGCCGCCCCAGGGCCUCGCCUCGCCCUCAAGUGCACCGUCGACCUCCCAGACCUUGUUCUCCGCCUCGUCGCACUGACCACCUUGAGCUCGAGCCAAGGAGCGGCCCGUGUCGCGUGGUGGCCAGAUGCGGCGGCCCCAUGCUCAAGCGCGGUGCUGGUGAACGCGAGGAGCAGCAGCCACUGAAGGACGCGGUGGUCCGUGCCGUCGCCGUCGCCGUCGUCUUCGGGCAGAAGGUCAAGCCAAGAUGAAUCAACAACACUACAACUGAAACGACCAUAGGUCCUGGAGCCUCUCAUUCCCUUCCUCCAUUCUCAUUCUCUUGAUUUAAUCCCCAAAAUCUUAUCUUUGUUUGUUCUAUGCCUACAAGGUGUUCGAUAAAAGCAAAAUGGUGGAUCUAUCACUUCUCUCCUCGUUCGGUCAGAAGGAGCAGCGAGACGGGAGCUGCGGAGAGCCGAGUCAGGGACAAGAAGCAGCAGGGACCGGGCUUCCGCUGCAGUGGAGUGGAGCUGCAGGGAGAGGAAGGAAGCACCAGAAUUGUUAAUUUGCUUGGGCACUCACCUGGGAUGUAGAUCUCUGGUUCCAGAGGCCGGAUCACCCCUUUCCUCUGAACCUUGUUCUGGAGCAAGAGCUGCAACAGAAGAUGGGAUGAAUUAACACAUGUUUCUUUCUGAUGCAGGUGAAGGAUGUCUGUGUGUGAUGUGUUGUGCUUGGUGUGCAGUAGUACCAGGGCUCCUAUCGCUGCCAGUACCCCGACAGUGAGGGCCAUGGCGCUGGUCGACCUGCUGUUCUCAAUCUUUCAGAACUCCAGCUUCGUCGCUUGGUGCUUCUCGGUGGGUUGCUCGUCGGGGUACUCCACCUCGACUUCAUGGUGGAGUAGUACCAUAUCCUGAAUCGUGGGAGCAAAGCAAACAUUUAGCUCAUCAUGGUCCAAGCCAUUCUCUGUUCAGAGUCGGGGACAAGAAGCAGCAGGGACCGGGCUCCUGCUGUAGUGGAGUGGAGCUGCAGGGAGAGGAAGGAAGCCGGUGACAGAAGAAAAGAAGUUGCCGGCUCUGGUUCAUCAUGGAGAAACAGCUGCUCGCCCUCCUCCGCCUCGUCUUCCCUAACCAUGGAUUCGUGAGACAAUGCCAACGAAUUGUCGGUCACGGGUACUGAGUCCCUCUCAUGUGAGGUAAUUUUAACUUCUCAGUUGGAUAUUAGUCAACAUCCUAAAGUUAGGAAUGUUCAGUAUCCCCAUAUCUAAUUUAUCUUCUUGGUUACCCUUGCUCCAUGUUCCUCUGCUCCCCCCUUACGUGUCGACAAUGGAGGCUUUACAUCAUAGUGCGAGGCAGUGGUGCCUGCAAUAAUGACGAGGAAGAGCUGCAUCCACUAGAAUUGCUACUCCAAUUUUGUUUACCAUUCAUAGAACAACACUCUGCUGGUCUUGCUAUUCGCCAUUUUCCUCCCCACUAUAGUGUUGCCACUCAGUGAUGCCUCGGCAAGAAGACCAAUCGCAGGGAGAUGCGCCAUGGCAUGUCCUGAAGAGGCAAUCAGAUAUUUUGGUGGCCUCAAGCCCUCAACCCUCUGGAUCAUCCGUCCGUUGUGCGUGCUCUCAUUUGGGUUGCCGAGGGACACCUCCUCCUGUGGCGCUCCUGUCCAAUUUUUUGUUUAUGUAAAAAAUUCUUACCAUCGCCUCACCUAUUUGGACAAUUAGCUUCAGGUAACUGCUUUAUGUGGAAAUAUGCCAAUGGAUAAUAUCCUCCAGAUUAACAAGUUCAUGUGUGCUGCUCUUAUUAUCUACCUGGUAGUCUCGUCUGACACUUGUAUUAAUGGCUUUUUCCUCUGGAGUACCAAGAAAAAUAGCAGUAUUACUUAGGGUUUGUUUGUUUGGGCUGCCAUUUCCAUGGCUGCAGCUGAAGGAGCGGCUGUAGCUGUUAAUGAAGAGAGGCACUUUGCAUUUGUCCACCAGAAGUAUAGAUCGGUAAAGUACAGAGAAGCUUCAGAGCAUGGUAGCAUUGUUUAUGAGAAGAAUCCACGACGGACUGAUAACCUACUUCUUCUUGGAGUUAUCUACUGUCAGUUUAAGACUUGGUGCUAGCCGGAGUUUCUAUUUUCUACCAAAACUACUAUUAACAAAAGAACUCUAGCGAUCCAGGAUUUUAUCCUAAGCUGCUAUUAAACUCACAAGAGGGAGUUAAUAACAAAAUAACUCUAGCCAUGCUUUUUGAUAUACUACGCAUAUGUAUGAUGUACUAGCAGUUCCUAUUUUUUAA